This 68-nucleotide transfer RNA is filed under the name Apaloderma vittatum (bar-tailed trogon). It matches the Rfam family "tRNA". Rfam says of the family: Transfer RNA (tRNA) molecules are approximately 80 nucleotides in length. Their secondary structure includes four short double-helical elements and three loops (D, anti-codon, and T loops). The record is from Rfam by way of RNAcentral. Lineage: Eukaryota; Metazoa; Chordata; Aves; Trogoniformes; Trogonidae.
GGGCCAGUUAGCCAGUUAGCGUGGUGCUGAUAACACCAAGGUCACGGGUUCGAUCCCUGUUUGGUCCC